Molecule: unclassified non-coding RNA, 275 nt
Organism: Macaca fascicularis (crab-eating macaque)
Lineage: Eukaryota; Metazoa; Chordata; Mammalia; Primates; Cercopithecidae
Rfam family: Metazoan signal recognition particle RNA
About the family: The signal recognition particle (SRP) is a universally conserved ribonucleoprotein. It is involved in the co-translational targeting of proteins to membranes.
Source: Ensembl
ACUGCAUGUACACUGGUACAUACCUGUAGUCCCAGCUACUCAGGAGGCUGAGGCGGGAGGACUGCUUAAACCCAGGAGUUAUAAGCUGUAGUGCUGUAUGCCAAUUGAGUGUCCCUACUAAGUUCAGCAUUUCCUGGGAGUGGGGGACCACCAGAUUGCCUAAGGAGGGGUCAACUGUCCCAGAUCAGAAACUCUUUUGCAGAUCAGUAGUGGAAUUGUGCCUAUGAAUAGCCACUACACUCCAGCCUGGGCAACAUAGCAAGACCCCAUCUCUU